Molecule: transfer-messenger RNA, 354 nt
Filed under: Acidobacteriota bacterium
Lineage: Bacteria; Pseudomonadati; Acidobacteriota
Description: Acidobacteria bacterium transfer-messenger RNA
Rfam family: transfer-messenger RNA
About the family: Bacterial tmRNA, also known as 10Sa RNA or SsrA, is named for its dual tRNA and mRNA-like properties. Its role is to liberate the mRNA from a stalled ribosome.
Source: RNAcentral
GGGGGCGACACGGCUUCGACGGGGGUAUUGGGCCGUGGGAGGCAUGCCGAGCUCCACUUGCUCGUUAAUCCGGUGGAAACAACCAUAACUGCGGAUUCGCAGCUCGCUCUCGCUGCUUAACACCAGCGACGUCCACCUCUUAGUUGCCUGCGCGCGGGGGCUGGAUGUCAAACAGGCAGGCUGGCCACUUGGGAUGGUUCCUGGUCCCGGGUGGCGAGACGACCACGGGAACUAGCUGCUGGCGGUUUUAGCCUCUUCCCCAGGCUGGCGGCGAAUCAACAGAAGAGGACAAGCAUGUAGAGUCCUACGGUGGGGUGCUCUCGGACGCGGGUUCGACUCCCGCCGCCUCCACCA